RNAcentral lists this ribosomal RNA (461 nucleotides) under uncultured bacterium. Its description in RNAcentral is "bacterial SSU rRNA". It matches the Rfam family "Bacterial small subunit ribosomal RNA", at positions 28 to 507 of the family's 1533-position model. The record is from RNAcentral.
GACGAACGCUGGCGGCGUGGAUUAGGCAUGCAAGUCGGACGGUAGGGCUUUAUCGUAAGAUAGAGUUUGAGAGUGGCGAACGGGUGAGUAACACGUAGGAAUCUACCCUUAAGACGGGGACAACCCGUCGAAAGGCGGGCUAAUACCGCGUAAGCCGCGAGGUGAGAGGCUGCCUAUUGGUGGCCGCCGAUGGAUGGGUUCGCGUCCUAUCAGCUGGUUGGUGGGGUAACGGCCUACCAAGGCGAAGACGGGUAGCCGGUCUGAGAGGAUGGCCGGCCACACUGGAACUGAGACACGGUCCAGACUCCUACGGGAGGCAGCAGUGGGGAAUAUUGGGCAAUGGGGGAGACCCUGACCCAGCGACGCCGCGUGAGGGAUGAAGGUUUUCGGAUCGUAAACCUCUGUUGUACGGGAAGAAGGAUGUGACGGUACCGUACGAGAAAGCCCCGGCAAACUACGUG